Transfer RNA from Salinivirga cyanobacteriivorans, 74 nucleotides. It matches the Rfam family "tRNA". Rfam says of the family: Transfer RNA (tRNA) molecules are approximately 80 nucleotides in length. Their secondary structure includes four short double-helical elements and three loops (D, anti-codon, and T loops). Further hydrogen bonds mediate the characteristic L-shaped molecular structure. tRNAs have two regions of fundamental functional importance: the anti-codon, which is responsible for specific mRNA codon recognition, and the 3' end, to which the tRNAs corresponding amino acid is attached (by aminoacyl-tRNA synthetases). tRNAs cope with the degeneracy of the genetic code in two manners: having more than one tRNA (with a specific anti-codon) for a particular amino acid; and 'wobble' base-pairing, i.e. permitting non-standard base-pairing at the 3rd anti-codon position. The record is from Rfam. Lineage: Bacteria; Pseudomonadati; Bacteroidota; Bacteroidia; Bacteroidales; Salinivirgaceae.
GCCGAUGUAGCUCAGUUGGUCAGAGCAGCUGAUUUGUAAUCAGCAGGUCGUGGGUUCGAAUCCCUCCAUCGGCU